UUAAGCGACUAAGCGUACACGGUGGAUGCCCUGGCAGUCAGAGGCGAUGAAGGACGUGCUAAUCUGCGAUAAGCGUCGGUAAGGUGAUAUGAACCGUUAUAACCGGCGAUUUCCGAAUGGGGAAACCCAGUGUGUUUCGACACACUAUCAUUAACUGAAUCCAUAGGUUAAUGAGGCGAACCGGGGGAACUGAAACAUCUAAGUACCCCGAGGAAAAGAAAUCAACCGAGAUUCCCCCAGUAGCGGCGAGCGAACGGGGAGCAGCCCAGAGCCUGAAUCAGUGUGUGUGUUAGUGGAAGCGUCUGGAAAGGCGCGCGAUACAGGGUGACAGCCCCGUACACAAAAAUGCACAUACUGUGAGCUCGAUGAGUAGGGCGGGACACGUGGUAUCCUGUCUGAAUAUGGGGGGACCAUCCUCCAAGGCUAAAUACUCCUGACUGACCGAUAGUGAACCAGUACCGUGAGGGAAAGGCGAAAAGAACCCCGGCGAGGGGAGUGAAAAAGAACCUGAAACCGUGUACGUACAAGCAGUGGGAGCACAGAGCAAUCUGUGUGACUGCGUACCUUUUGUAUAAUGGGUCAGCGACUUAUAUUCUGUAGCAAGGUUAACCGAAUAGGGGAGCCGAAGGGAAACCGAGUCUUAACUGGGCGUUAAGUUGCAGGGUAUAGACCCGAAACCCGGUGAUCUAGCCAUGGGCAGGUUGAAGGUUGGGUAACACUAACUGGAGGACCGAACCGACUAAUGUUGAAAAAUUAGCGGAUGACUUGUGGCUGGGGGUGAAAGGCCAAUCAAACCGGGAGAUAGCUGGUUCUCCCCGAAAGCUAUUUAGGUAGCGCCUCGUGAAUUCAUCUCCGGGGGUAGAGCACUGUUUCGGCAAGGGGGUCAUCCCGACUUACCAACCCGAUGCAAACUGCGAAUACCGGAGAAUGUUAUCACGGGAGACACACGGCGGGUGCUAACGUCCGUCGUGAAGAGGGAAACAACCCAGACCGCCAGCUAAGGUCCCAAAGUCAUGGUUAAGUGGGAAACGAUGUGGGAAGGCCCAGACAGCCAGGAUGUUGGCUUAGAAGCAGCCAUCAUUUAAAGAAAGCGUAAUAGCUCACUGGUCGAGUCGGCCUGCGCGGAAGAUGUAACGGGGCUAAACCAUGCACCGAAGCUGCGGCAGCGACGCUGAUGCGUUGUUGGGUAGGGGAGCGUUCUGUAAGCCUGUGAAGGUGUGCUGUGAGGCAUGCUGGAGGUAUCAGAAGUGCGAAUGCUGACAUAAGUAACGAUAAAGCGGGUGAAAAGCCCGCUCGCCGGAAGACCAAGGGUUCCUGUCCAACGUUAAUCGGGGCAGGGUGAGUCGACCCCUAAGGCGAGGCCGAAAGGCGUAGUCGAUGGGAAACAGGUUAAUAUUCCUGUACUUGGUGUUACUGCGAAGGGGGGACGGAGAAGGCUAUGUUGGCCGGGCGACGGUUGUCCCGGUUUAAGCGUGUAGGCUGGUUUUCCAGGCAAAUCCGGAAAAUCAAGGCUGAGGCGUGAUGACGAGGCACUACGGUGCUGAAGCAACAAAUGCCCUGCUUCCAGGAAAAGCCUCUAAGCAUCAGGUAACAUCAAAUCGUACCCCAAACCGACACAGGUGGUCAGGUAGAGAAUACCAAGGCGCUUGAGAGAACUCGGGUGAAGGAACUAGGCAAAAUGGUGCCGUAACUUCGGGAGAAGGCACGCUGAUAUGUAGGUGAAGUCCCUCGCGGAUGGAGCUGAAAUCAGUCGAAGAUACCAGCUGGCUGCAACUGUUUAUUAAAAACACAGCACUGUGCAAACACGAAAGUGGACGUAUACGGUGUGACGCCUGCCCGGUGCCGGAAGGUUAAUUGAUGGGGUCAGCGCAAGCGAAGCUCUUGAUCGAAGCCCCGGUAAACGGCGGCCGUAACUAUAACGGUCCUAAGGUAGCGAAAUUCCUUGUCGGGUAAGUUCCGACCUGCACGAAUGGCGUAAUGAUGGCCAGGCUGUCUCCACCCGAGACUCAGUGAAAUUGAACUCGCUGUGAAGAUGCAGUGUACCCGCGGCAAGACGGAAAGACCCCGUGAACCUUUACUAUAGCUUGACACUGAACAUUGAGCCUUGAUGUGUAGGAUAGGUGGGAGGCUUUGAAGUGUGGACGCCAGUCUGCAUGGAGCCGACCUUGAAAUACCACCCUUUAAUGUUUGAUGUUCUAACGUUGACCCGUAAUCCGGGUUGCGGACAGUGUCUGGUGGGUAGUUUGACUGGGGCGGUCUCCUCCUAAAGAGUAACGGAGGAGCACGAAGGUUGGCUAAUCCUGGUCGGACAUCAGGAGGUUAGUGCAAUGGCAUAAGCCAGCUUGACUGCGAGCGUGACGGCGCGAGCAGGUGCGAAAGCAGGUCAUAGUGAUCCGGUGGUUCUGAAUGGAAGGGCCAUCGCUCAACGGAUAAAAGGUACUCCGGGGAUAACAGGCUGAUACCGCCCAAGAGUUCAUAUCGACGGCGGUGUUUGGCACCUCGAUGUCGGCUCAUCACAUCCUGGGGCUGAAGUAGGUCCCAAGGGUAUGGCUGUUCGCCAUUUAAAGUGGUACGCGAGCUGGGUUUAGAACGUCGUGAGACAGUUCGGUCCCUAUCUGCCGUGGGCGCUGGAGAACUGAGGGGGGCUGCUCCUAGUACGAGAGGACCGGAGUGGACGCAUCACUGGUGUUCGGGUUGUCAUGCCAAUGGCACUGCCCGGUAGCUAAAUGCGGAAGAGAUAAGUGCUGAAAGCAUCUAAGCACGAAACUUGCCCCGAGAUGAGUUCUCCCUGACUCCUUGAGAGUCCUGAAGGAACGUUGAAGACGACGACGUUGAUAGGCCGGGUGUGUAAGCGCAGCGAUGCGUUGAGCUAACCGGUACUAAUGAACCGUGAGGCUUAACCUU
This 2904-nucleotide ribosomal RNA is filed under the name Escherichia coli. Its description in RNAcentral is "bacterial LSU rRNA". It matches the Rfam family "Bacterial large subunit ribosomal RNA". Lineage: Bacteria; Pseudomonadati; Pseudomonadota; Gammaproteobacteria; Enterobacterales; Enterobacteriaceae. The record is from RNAcentral.